This 87-nucleotide microRNA precursor is filed under the name Rosa chinensis. RNAcentral's name for it is "sRNA RchiOBHm_Chr1g0363581". It matches the Rfam family "mir-160 microRNA precursor family". Rfam says of the family: The hairpin precursors (represented here) are predicted based on base pairing and cross-species conservation -- their extents are not known. In this case the mature sequence is excised from the 5' arm of the hairpin. The record is from Rfam by way of RNAcentral. Lineage: Eukaryota; Viridiplantae; Streptophyta; Magnoliopsida; Rosales; Rosaceae.
AUGUGCCUGGCUCCCUGUAUGCCAUUUGCAGAGAGCUUAUCGAACAUCGAUGACCUCCGUGGAUGGCGUAUGAGGAGCCAUGCAUAU